Molecule: non-coding RNA, 117 nt
Filed under: Theropithecus gelada (gelada)
Lineage: Eukaryota; Metazoa; Chordata; Mammalia; Primates; Cercopithecidae
Source: Rfam by way of RNAcentral
GCCGGGUGUGGUGGCUCACACCUGUAAUCCCAGCAUUUUGGGAGGCUGAGGUGGGAGGAUUGCUUGAGCCCAGGAAUUCCAGACCAGCCUUGGCAAGAUGGCAAGACCCCACUUCUA